This 1183-nucleotide long non-coding RNA is filed under the name Equus caballus (horse). Its description in RNAcentral is "lncRNA (ENSECAG00000044887.1)". The record is from RNAcentral. Lineage: Eukaryota; Metazoa; Chordata; Mammalia; Perissodactyla; Equidae.
AACACCUUCAGAAUUCCUUCCAGUUUUUUUCCUUUAAGGGCAAACCCCUGAGAGACGACAUUAGGGAGGAUUUUCAGAAGUGGUUUACCUGCCUCCCUUCCCAAAAACAAUCCCACUUAUCAGCCAGGAAAGGCGAACGUGGGAGAACGAACUCUACUUUAUCCCACGACAGGCCCAGGGAACUCCAGAAAUAAGAGUAUGGUCUUCUCGACUGCCCAACAAAAGACAUACCAACUUUAAAAGAUGCAUUUUGGAGUUUUGCACUGUUGGACAUCCAAUUUACGUGGUUGUGAGGAGCUGCUAAGCAGUUUAUCUUCCAUCCAUUUUAACGAUCAAAACUGAAUUCCAAUGAAACCCUUAUACUGUUAGUAUUGUACUAUUCUAUAUUGCCUGUUUACAAGGUAAAAAUGGGACAAAUUUACAGCCUACUUUAUUAAAUGGGGUUGUAAACAAACUACUCUGCAUAAAAACCUACAAGUUGAGUCAGGCUUUGGGGGCAAAACACGAUGAAAUACGGGACCUGAAACCAGCCUGCCUAAGCAGGAGUAUCCUCCAACAGAUUCAAAAGAUCACAGGGAUCAAGUCAGAACAGCCUAUCCUCAGACUCAUGAAUCUAAGCCGUCCUAAAGGAGGACUUGGGCAUUGUGUGAAUUCUAAAUUAAUUUGCUUUCUUUUUCCCUUCUGCUACAGUAUAACAAACAACUGACUUUUUUUUCCCAGUUUCUAAAAGCAGCAAGGUUGGUGGUGUCGCCACGAACAUCCAAUGAAUGAUUCAUUCUCGCUCAAGUGGAACCCGUGGGAAAUGUUGCCAAUAACUUGGUUUAUUUCUUAUCUUCAGUUCUCAGCAGACAACAUAUUCGUCUAUAUUUUUACUAAGAGUCAUAAAUUUUUCAGUUAGUGUACAAAUAACAACACUACGUGAUUCCAUUUGGUCUCAGUCCUCAGGGCUUCGGAAGAAGAGAAGGAAAACUCCAUCGUCUUCAUCAACAGGGUGCGCCAUGCUUUCCGCAGCCUGCUGGAAGUCCUGGAAGAGGGUAGAGGAAAGGCAAUGUGCACAGUUGUAAACCCUUAGAUACAUUACUAAGGCAGCAGGUGGCAUUUAGCCAGAUGAUUCCAACUGACUUUCCCCACAUCAAGGCUAUUGUAGGGAACUUUCACCUGUGGGGCGCUAAGGGGCCGAAUG